AGAGUUUGAUCCUGGCUCAGGAUGAACGCUGGCGGCGUGCCUAAUACAUGCAAGUCGAACGCUUCACUUCGGUGAAGAGUGGCGAACGGGUGAGUAAUACAUAAGUAACCUGGCAUCUACAGGGGGAUAACUGAUGGAAACGUCAGCUAAGACCGCAUAGGUGUAGAGAUCGCAUGAACUCUAUAUGAAAAGUGCUACGGGACUGGUAGAUGAUGGACUUAUGGCGCAUUAGCUUGUUGGUAGGGUAACGGCCUACCAAGGCGACGAUGCGUAGCCGACCUGAGAGGGUGACCGGCCACACUGGGACUGAGACACGGCCCAGACUCCUACGGGAGGCAGCAGUAGGGAAUUUUCGGCAAUGGGGGAAACCCUGACCGAGCAACGCCGCGUGAAGGAAGAAGUAAUUCGUUAUGUAAACUUCUGUCAUAGAGGAAGAACGGUGGAUAUAGGGAAUGAUAUCCAAGUGACGGUACUCUAUAAGAAAGCCACGGCUAACUACGUGCCAGCAGCCGCGGUAAUACGUAGGUGGCGAGCGUUAUCCGGAAUUAUUGGGCGUAAAGAGGGAGCAGGCGGCACUAAGGGUCUGUGGUGAAAGAUCGAAGCUUAACUUCGGUAAGCCAUGGAAACCGUAGAGCUAGAGUGUGUGAGAGGAUCGUGGAAUUCCAUGUGUAGCGGUGAAAUGCGUAGAUAUAUGGAGGAACACCAGUGGCGAAGGCGACGAUCUGGCGCAUAACUGACGCUCAGUCCCGAAAGCGUGGGGAGCAAAUAGGAUUAGAUACCCUAGUAGUCCACGCCGUAAACGAUGA
RNAcentral lists this ribosomal RNA (806 nucleotides) under uncultured bacterium. RNAcentral describes it as "bacterial SSU rRNA". It matches the Rfam family "Bacterial small subunit ribosomal RNA", at positions 8 to 812 of the family's 1533-position model. The record is from RNAcentral.